RNAcentral lists this ribosomal RNA (277 nucleotides) under uncultured bacterium. Its description in RNAcentral is "partial 16S ribosomal RNA". It matches the Rfam family "Bacterial small subunit ribosomal RNA", at positions 62 to 339 of the family's 1533-position model. The record is from RNAcentral.
UCGAACGGCAGCGGGGAGCUUGCUCCCGCCGGCGAGUGGCAAACGGGUGAGUAAUACAUCGGAACGUGCCCAGUAGUGGGGGAUAGCCCGGCGAAAGCCAGAUUAAUACCGCAUACGACCUACGGGUGAAAGCGGGGGACCGAAAGGCCUUCGCGCUAUUGGAGCGGCCGAUGGCUGAUUAGCUAGUUGGUGGGGUAAAGGCCUACCAAGCCGACGAUCAGUAGCUGGUCUGAGAGGAUGGUCAGCCACACUGGGACUGAGACACGGCCCAGACUCC